UGGGGAAUCUUGCGCAAUGGCCGAGAGGCUGACGCAGCGACGCCGCGUGGGGGAUGAAGCAUUUCGGUGUGUAAACCCCUGUUGCUCGGGACGAACGACCCUUUUCGAGGGGUGUGACGGUACCGAGUGAGGAAGCACCGGCUAACUCCGUGCCAGCAGCCGCGGUAAUACGGAGGGUGCGAGCGUUGUCCGGAAUCACUGGGCGUAAAGGGCGCGUAGGUGGUUAGAUGCGCCGGUGGUGAAAGCGCAGGGCUCAACCCUGCGUCGGCCAUCGGGACGGUCUGACUUGAGCACUGUAGAGGCAGGUGGAAUUCCGGGUGUAGCGGUGGAAUGCGUAGAGAUCCGGAAGAACACCGGUGGCGAAGGCGGCCUGCUGGGCAGUAGCUGACACUGAGGCGCGACAGCGUGGGGAGCAAACAGG
This 421-nucleotide ribosomal RNA is filed under the name uncultured Gemmatimonadales bacterium. Its description in RNAcentral is "bacterial SSU rRNA". It matches the Rfam family "Bacterial small subunit ribosomal RNA", at positions 355 to 776 of the family's 1533-position model. The record is from RNAcentral. Lineage: Bacteria; Pseudomonadati; Gemmatimonadota; Gemmatimonadia; Gemmatimonadales.